CGAUAUCAAUAAGCGGAGGAAAAGAAAAUAACAAUGAUUCCCCUAGUAACUGCGAGUGAAGAGGGACAAGCUCAAAUUUUAAAUCUGUUCGGUUCUACCUGACAGAGUUGUAAUUUAAAGAAACGUUUUCUGUGUCUUGAGUUAAUCGAAAUCCUUUGGAAUGAGGUAUCAUGGAGGGUGACAAUCCCGUUCAUGGUUAAUUCUAAGAUGCUUUAUGAUGCGUUUUCGAAGAGUCGAGUUGUUUGGGAUUGCAGCUCAAAAUGGGAGGUAAAUUUCUCCUAAGGCUAAAUAUUGGCGAGAGACCGAUAGCGAACAAGUACCGUGAGGGAAAGAUGAAAAGUACUUUGAAAAGAGAGUUAAAUAGUACGUGAAAUUGUUGAAAGGGAAACGAUUGAAGCCAGUCGUACUGACGGGUAAUCAACCUUUUGGGCGCGAUUAUGUGGAGUGUGUUGGAGCCUUAACAGUCCUCAUGCCUGCAUAUUUGUUUCCUUGGGUGUACUUGCCCGCGUGGUAGGUUAACAUCAAUUUCGGACGUCAUAAAGUAACGGGAGGAAUGUAGCUUUGGUCUCGUACUGAAGUGUUAUAGACUCUGCUAGAUGUGACGACCGGGAUUGAGGAUUGCAACGGAUACCCCUCGGGGCUACCCGCCUGGCCUCUGGAGGUCGCUUUGGUGCCGAAAGCGUGCUUACGGUUAUCGAAGUUGGCAGUCAAUAGGUUAGAACGGGUUAAAUUCGUUAAGGAUGUUGACGUA
This 751-nucleotide ribosomal RNA is filed under the name uncultured Glomus. Its description in RNAcentral is "eukaryotic LSU rRNA". It matches the Rfam family "Eukaryotic large subunit ribosomal RNA", at positions 38 to 633 of the family's 3401-position model. The record is from RNAcentral. Lineage: Eukaryota; Fungi; Glomeromycota; Glomeromycetes; Glomerales; Glomeraceae.